AUUAGAUACCCUGGUAGUCCACGCAGUAAACGAUGAAUGUCAGCUGUCCGGGACUUCGGUCCUGGGUGGCACAGCGAAAGCGUUAAACAUUCCACCUGGGGAGUACGCCGGCAACGGUGAAACUCAAAGGAAUUGACGGGGGCCCGCACAAGCGGAGGAACAUGUGGUUUAAUUCGAUGAUACGCGAGGAACCUUACCCGGGCUCAAACGUGACUGGAAUGUCCGCGAAAGCGGGCAGCCCUUCGGGGCCGGUUACGAGGUGCUGCAUGGUUGUCGUCAGCUCGUGCCGUGAGGUGUCGGCUUAAGUGCCAUAACGAGCGCAACCCCUACCGACAGUUGCUAACAAGCGAAGUUGAGGACUCUGUCGGGACUGCCGGCGCAAGCUGCGAGGAAGGCGGGGAUGACGUCAAAUCAGCACGGCCCUUACGUCCGGGGCGACACACGUGUUACAAUGGCGGGUACAGCGGGAGGCCAUGCGGCGACGCAGAGCGGAACCCGAAAGCCUGUCUCAGUUCGGAUCGGAGUCUGCAACUCGACUCCGUGAAGCUGGAUUCGCUAGUAAUCGCGCAUCAGCCAUGGCGCGGUGAAUACGUUCCCGGGCCUUGUACACACCGCCCGUCACACCAUGGGAGUUUGUAACGCCCAAAGUCGGUGGCCUAACCUUUAUGGAGAGAGGCGCCUAAGGCGGGACAGAUGACUGGGGUGAAGUCGUAACAAGGUAUCAAGGGCG
This 730-nucleotide ribosomal RNA is filed under the name uncultured bacterium. RNAcentral describes it as "bacterial SSU rRNA". It matches the Rfam family "Bacterial small subunit ribosomal RNA", at positions 777 to 1507 of the family's 1533-position model. The record is from RNAcentral.